GUCAUGCAUGUUGUCACACUUCGAGGCUCGUGGAUACUACCAUUACAUAGUCUACAGUCUACUUGAUGGAGAGAUGGAAUCACGUUCACGUAGACAACACCAUAUGAUUGGUUUUGUGCUUGAUCUUCUCCAGCACCGAUAAAAAUGGCGGAGGCAAAGAGACCUAACACACGAAACAGGAGGCGGUAAAGGAAGAAUGGUUCACGAAGAGAACUUCCAAAGCUUACCCAAGAGGUAAAGGUAACUCAAAAUACAGAUGAAGGAUCCUCAGCUUCAGGAGAAGCCUCAAGUCCAACAAAAUCUUCAUCAGCUGAUCAGGAGCUGAUGGUGGCACCUUCAUCCAGGCUAGAGGUUUUCUGUUUCUACUUUAAGAGAAAAAUGCCAUUCACAUCAGAGGAAACAUGGGACCCAGGUACACUGUUUGCAACCAUUCCAGUGGCAGGUUCUAGAAGCUAGGACCAAGAGUAAGUCUUGGCUGAACCUAUCCAAGCAGGCCAACAGUCAUCUUAAGAAACUCUUCUGUGAUGUCAACAAUAAAGAGUACACUGGGGCCAUCCUCGUUCGUAAGAAAACCAAGAUGGUCUUCAUGCAUCACGUUACCAUAACGAUUGGUAAACACUCCUUCACAAUCCAAGAUGGAUUCAACCAGGUUUUUGAUGUGCGUCGUCUUUGGACCCUCUCCUCUACUCGGGCAAGAGGCUGGAGGAAGGAAUACAGCACUCAUUUGGAUGUGGUACUGGAAGAACGGAACCAAGAAGUGGACGGAGUCCCCCAAACAGUCUCGCUGCGAAAGUUUCCCCCAUCCACUCAUGGACUCAAAGAGAUGCGUUUGAUACGAAGAGAAACGUUGGUGUUACAACUGAAUGUAAGUCCAUAAGAGGUCCGUUGUUCCAUGGUGGUCAAAGAAACGAACUCUCGCCAAGCUUUGCUGUCAAGAGCUGUAUGUCGUUAGCUCAUGCAUGUUAUGUCUUUUCAGUGCUUAAUGUUGUCAGUCCAUCUGGAUUUCGGUCUCCCUCUUCCAGCGCCACCAUUAACAGUGCUUCCGUGCGCUGCUUCCCAAGAUUCCCCUCCUAUCUCCUUGUAUUAAGCCCAAAACAGUGGAUACCACAAGACAGUAAAAAGUACUCAAAAGGGUGAGCUUUGCUGUUCAUUCCUUUUGAUGUUUCAUGUCAUUUUGAAAAAAAUUACAAGGGGUAAGCCUCGCUGCUCAUUUCUUUUGAUGUUUUAUGUCAGUUUGGCCUCAACUACAAGGGGUAAGCCUGCUCAUCCCGCAGAUGUUUUAUAUUUUGUUGGUCAACACUUAAAGGGGGUAAGCCUUGCUGUUUACUCUUUUUGAUGUUUCAUGUAAUUUUGGCCAAUAUUACAAGGGGUUGUUGAGCGAAAAGUUGAUUAGGCUAUAACCUUGUUAUAAACAGUUCACAAUGCUUUUUUAUAGCCUUGUACACUUUUUUGAGCAAAAAGUUUACAAGGCAAUGAACACUUAUUAAGCGAAAAGUUCAUAAGGCUUGCCUUGUGACCUUCUCAAAUUUUGCCGAACAAGU
Molecule: long non-coding RNA, 1541 nt
Organism: Asterias rubens (European starfish)
Lineage: Eukaryota; Metazoa; Echinodermata; Asteroidea; Forcipulatida; Asteriidae
Exons: 4
Source: RefSeq, a predicted model, not a curated record